GAUGAAGAACGUAGCGAAAUGCGAUAAGUAAUGUGAAUUGCAGAAUUCAGUGAAUCAUCGAAUCUUUGAACGCACAUUGCGCCCAUCUGUAUUCUGUUGGGCAUGCCUGUCCGAGCGUCAUUUCAACCCUCAGGGCCCGUUCGCGGGAACUGGUGUUGGGGAUCGGCCUCCCCCCGGAGGCCGGCCCCGAAAUGCAGUGGCGGCUCUACCGCGAUCUCCUCUGUGUAGUAGCGAUACCUCGCAGCUGGAUAGUGGUGGUGCCACGCCGUAAAAUCCCAACUUUACCAAGGUUGACCUCGGAUCAGGUAGGAAUACCCGCUGAACUUAAGCAUAUCAAUAAGCGGAGGA
Molecule: unclassified non-coding RNA, 348 nt
Filed under: soil metagenome
Description: partial contains 5.8S ribosomal RNA, internal transcribed spacer 2, and large subunit ribosomal RNA
Rfam family: 5.8S ribosomal RNA (bases 1-120)
Source: RNAcentral